ACAUCAUAAGUCCAAUUACUUAUUUCAGAUCUAACCCCUUUAUUUUAUGAUCCCAUAGGUUCAAUUCUAUCUGGUAAUGAGAUAUACCAUGAUCUUGAAGGAAAAAACUAUCUUUUUCCUUGUAGGAUCUUCCAGAUCUAAUGAGAUCUGGGGUGAAAUAUUCUAAAAAAAAUUUAUUCUACUUUAUUUUAGAUCUAAGAUCUAUUAGAUCUAAUUCUUAUUAUUUGAUAUUUAAUCUAAAAUUAAAUC
This 249-nucleotide long non-coding RNA is filed under the name Elaeis guineensis (African oil palm). RNAcentral's name for it is "long non-coding RNA (EGUI_LNC065649)". The record is from RNAcentral. Lineage: Eukaryota; Viridiplantae; Streptophyta; Magnoliopsida; Arecales; Arecaceae.